GGGGGCCGAUUUGGGUGAGGAGACUUGCUCUCUAAGCCCGGGUUGGCCGCAGAGACCAGGCCCAAGCGACUGUUUACUAAAAACACAGGUCCAUGCGAAGUCGCAAGACGCUGUAUAUGGACUGACGCCUGCCCGGUGCUGGAACGUUAAGGGGACGGGUUAGCAACUUCGGUUGCGAAGCUCAGAACUUAAGCGCCAGUAAACGGCGGUGGUAACUAUAACCAUCCUAAGGUAGCGAAAUUCCUUGUCGGGUAAGUUCCGACCUGCACGAAUGGCGUAACGACUUGGGCGCUGUCUCAACCGUAGACUCGGCGAAAUUGCACUACGAGUAAAGAUGCUCGUUACGCGCGGCAGGACGGAAAGACCCCGGGACCUUUACUACAGCUUGGUAUUGGUGGUCGAUUCAAUUUGUGUAGGAUAGGUGGG
RNAcentral lists this ribosomal RNA (426 nucleotides) under uncultured bacterium. RNAcentral's name for it is "bacterial LSU rRNA". It matches the Rfam family "Bacterial large subunit ribosomal RNA", at positions 1746 to 2151 of the family's 2925-position model. The record is from RNAcentral.